CAGUCGCCGCGGGAAUACAGAGGGUGCGAGCGUUAAUCGGAUUUACUGGGCGUAAAGCGUGCGUAGGCGGCUUUUUAAGUCGGAUGUGAAAUCCCUGAGCUUAACUUAGGAAUUGCAUUCUAUACUGGGAAGCUAGAGUAUGGGAGAGGAUGGUAGAAUUCCAGGUGUAGCGGUGAAAUGCGUAGAGAUCUGGAGGAAUACCGAUGGCGAAGGCAGCCAUCUGGCCUAAUACUGACGCUGAGGUACGAAAGCAUGGGGAGCAAACAGGAUUAGAUACCCCGGUAGUCCCUGUCUCUUAUAA
This 301-nucleotide ribosomal RNA is filed under the name uncultured bacterium. RNAcentral's name for it is "partial 16S ribosomal RNA". It matches the Rfam family "Bacterial small subunit ribosomal RNA", at positions 509 to 809 of the family's 1533-position model. The record is from RNAcentral.